Oreochromis aureus is the source of this 2928-nucleotide long non-coding RNA. The record is from Ensembl. NCBI's taxonomy places the organism in Eukaryota, Metazoa, Chordata, Actinopteri, Cichliformes, Cichlidae.
UGAGCCUACUUCGGCUCUUUGAUGGGUUGGGACCCGGUAAGCUAGCCGUGGUGAUUUAUGCAUUAAUGAUCGGGACCUAGUCAACAGAGUACUUGAACAAAGUCAGAAGUGACAAUCAUCAGUAACGCCCGCUUUAAAAGUUCAUUGGAAAGCACGUUGACGCACUAAAAUGGUGUUAAAUGAUGGAGGUCGACUGCUGUAAACGAUGAGGUUUUGUGUAGUUGAGUACUUUGCACAGUGAUUUGAACAAUUUAACUCUAAUUGAAUUGGCAAAAACUAUCCUCGCGUGUUUACUGUAACCUCAUUUAACGGACACCAUCCCACCAGGUCGGAGAAGCUCCGCCUCCUCCUCCUGCUGUGGACUAAAGACCAAUCAUUUGUAUGCAAUAGUUUUCUUUGCAUCAAUCCGUACUGUAAAAAGAUCGUAACAAACCAGAGAAGCACAAAUGUCGCUUUCUUCACUCUGUGUAAUAGAGUCCAGUGUAAUAUCUACUCUUAUUUUUAGCUCUUAGUCUUUGAUUAUUGUUUUCUCUUUACGUUCUUUGUAUUUACUGUAUAUCGCUUACUUGUUUUUAUGUGUUCUCUUCUCAGACUCUGUCUAUGCUCUAUAUAUCUAUAACGCUGCUGCAGAAUUUCCCCCUAAAGGGAUCUUCAGUUUUAUCGAACAUUAAUGACACUACUCUUGCUCGUGAGUAGCUUCCUGUUGCGUAAUCUGAACAAACGUCUGCUUGACACAUACAGGAGCCAGUUUUGUGAGGCCCAAACGAGUCAGAACUGAGCGCGAGUUCUGGACUUAUUUGGGGCCUCGAUGUUGGUUUUUUGUGGCCCCCUUUAGGCUUCACGCUCUCUCAGACACCAGCCCACUGAUCUCCUCCCUCGCUUUUCCUUUUCCUUUUCCUGUGCUUCUGUCCUGACGUUCCAAUAGCUUUAAUACUUCGCUCUCUCCUUCUGUUGCCUGCCUGGCUCUGCGCCCCACUCCCAUUGCCCUUACCGUAAACGCCGCGGAAGAUGUCUCCAAAACUAAAAUCGGCAUCGGCGCCGCCUCAUGUGCCCUGCAGUAGCCCCCCUCCCGCCCCUCCCUUCUUCCUCCCUCUGUGCCACCUUCAUUUUUCCCGAGGUGUGCCUCUGUCAGCAGAACUUCAGGCCCGAGAGUGAAUUUUGCAGCCGUGUGAGUGACGUUAGUGCAUCUUGCGUGCGUGUUUGUCAGUGAUGGGAGAGAAUUUCAAACGAACAACUUUCCUCUCUGUCCUCUGUGCACCGAUGUGGGAACUUAGAAGUCCUAGUUCAUGAACUCUGACCUUUGACCAGGCGCUCAUUUGGUCCCUUGUGGUGGUGGCGGAGACAGUGAGAGUGGGAGAAGCCCCACUAUCUACCCACAGUCAACGUUUUAUUUAUGGACCUCUGCACUUUUGGCUGUGAUGACUUCAGUACUUAAGUAGUUACCUAAACUGUAUUUUUAAGGAUUUUAUACAAUAUUUACAUGCAAUACAAUAUGAAUUGAGUUUGUUUUGUUUGCCAACCAUUUGUUUCUUAUUUAAUUGUCUUUUAUUUUGGCAUGUUGUCGCUAUUAUUCACAAACAUGCCUGUCAAAUCUGUUUUAGGCAUAAGAUGUUGGGGAUGUUCCCUGUAAAAAUUUGUUUUUUUGUUUUGUAUCAUGAUUCUGAUGACAGCUGAACACCGAGAAGCACGUGUUUGGGCGGGCGGGUGAAAAACAAAUGAAACAAAACUGCUGGAUGAGCUAAACUUUAUCACCCUCUGCUCCGAGUACAAAUAACUGGACCACAAGGAGGGACGUGAGGAGUCCGCACUUUGGUUCAGCAGAAGAAAAACGGUUUGUUUUUCUGUCGUGUCCAGUUUGGGUUUUCUGCACGUUCGUAAAUGUGCGCGCCCAAACGGAGACCGUCAUCUUCAUUUUAUUAUGUUAGGACAACUUGAGCCUGAGGAAACACAACAUAGAGAAACAAGAGUUGCAAAGUGGGAGGAGAUGCUCUGGAAGUUAAAGUGCUAUUCAUUUUUCCUGGUUUGUUAUUUUUUUAAAUGUUUGAACCCCUCUCUGGCUUGGAUCUGCAUAAAACACUGAAAACUGUCUUAAAUAUUAAUAUCUGUCUCAGAAGAUGUGCUUUAAUGAACUGCAACUUGCACCAAGCAGUAAAGAUGACAAGCCUGAGUGGUUAUCAUUAAUGUCAAAGAACAUUAUAGAAGGGAAUGGGAGAUAGAUGGGAGAAACCCCCCAGCUGUCCCUUCCCUUUGCAACUCUGUGCACAGGGCUGUGAGAGUGGAGCAUUUCAGCUGAGUCUAUAUUAUAUAUAAUAUGUGUUUAAUACAGCAAAGGUAGAUUAUCUACUGUGUGGAUCUUUAGAGGAUGAGGAAAAAGCAAAAACACACAAAAAAAACUGAGAAAAUGGUUCAUUGAUAAUGUGUGGAGAGGGGCGGGGCGGGAGGGAGGGGGCAUGUGCAGACGGGGUGUUUCCUGUGUCAGUGGUUGUCAUAAUGUGUCUGUGACAAGGGGACAGGGUUGCCUGUAUUUAUAAAGGGUUUGAUUAUUUUUCUUUUAAAGGGGCGGGGCGAGGGAGGGGGGAGGGCGGCGUCUGAAUCCCUGUACGAGGUCGAAGCGACGAAUGGCGGGAAGAACAAAUGAACUGGAUGGCUGAAGAACAAUUUGGUAUUUUUGAAAAAAACAAAAAAAGGAAAACAAACAAACUUGGCAUUACAACGCCACCAUGUGGCCGUAUGAUGCAAGUUGUUAACGAGGACGAAACAUGUUAUUUUAAUGUUAUUUUUUAUGUUGAAAUCAUAUUAUUAAUAAAGUCAUUAAGUACUGUUGUCCCCCCUCCCCGUGUGUCCGAUCCUUGACCGCUGCGUGACCCGCUGCAAGGGUUCGAGUAAAGUUCACGUGACGGUCAUCGCAGGCCGCAGGGUUAAAAGGAC